This 405-nucleotide ribosomal RNA is filed under the name uncultured bacterium. RNAcentral describes it as "bacterial SSU rRNA". It matches the Rfam family "Bacterial small subunit ribosomal RNA", at positions 28 to 431 of the family's 1533-position model. The record is from RNAcentral.
GACGAACGCUGGCGGCGUGCCUAACACAUGCAAGUCGAACGGGGUUGAGUGCUUCGGUAUUCAACUUAGUGGCGAACGGGUGAGUAACGCGUGAAGAACCUGCCUUUCAGUGGGGGACAACAGUUGGAAACGACUGCUAAUACCGCAUAAUGUGGAGAGAGGACAUCCUCUUUUCACCAAAGGAGCAAUCCGCUGUAAGAUGGGCUCGCGUCCGAUUAGCCAGUUGGCGGGGUAACGGCCCACCAAAGCGACGAUCGGUAGCCGGACUGAGAGGUUGAACGGCCACAUUGGGACUGAGACACGGCCCAGACUCCUACGGGAGGCAGCAGUAGGGAAUAUUGCACAAUGGAGGAAACUCUGAUGCAGCCAUGCCGCGUGUGUGAAGAAGGCCUCGGUUGGUAAAGU